Molecule: long non-coding RNA, 556 nt
Organism: Cyanistes caeruleus (blue tit)
Lineage: Eukaryota; Metazoa; Chordata; Aves; Passeriformes; Paridae
Source: RefSeq, a predicted model, not a curated record
UACGAAGGAUUAAUUGCAAAGGAUUAAGAUUCUCCAGAUUGCUAAAAUGCUCAACAAAUUACUUUUAACAUUUGAAAGAUGGAACAAGCAGAAAUCUUUCUUGAAGGAUAAGGGGGUGUCUUCUGCCAUCUGCCAUUUAACAAGCUGACUUUAGAUAUGACCUAAAAUUAAGGAUAUCCAGGUCAUUUCCUUCUGCCAUCCUCCACUUCUGUUUUGGGAGCAGCUAUCUAAGGAAAUGGUGUAGGUGGUCAUAGAACCAUAAGGCUGAUGAACUGGAGGAGAGUCUGUUCAUCCUGUAAUCUGUGUUACACAUUGCACUUGAAAUGGCUGAUUAGUGAGAUGUUCAUUAAUGAUACACAUGAAUUUUCAUCUUGUGACUGGAAUGAUAUUAAAAUUAUUGGAGACAUGUAUGUCCUUCUGAUGGACAGAUGUCCCUUGCUGCCUUUCUCUCUUUAAGGGGAUUUUUUAUCUUCUAUUUCAAGGCACUUGAUUUUCUGUUGAUUUAUGUCUAUUUUAGGGUCCCUUAUCUCUUUCACUUCUGUUUCUGCUUUCAGAA